GCCCGUCUAGCUCAGUCGGUAGAGCGCAAGGCUCUUAACCUGGUCGUGGGUUCGAGCCCCACGGUGGGCG
Transfer RNA from Oryza sativa Japonica Group (Japanese rice), 70 nucleotides. It matches the Rfam family "tRNA". Rfam says of the family: Transfer RNA (tRNA) molecules are approximately 80 nucleotides in length. NCBI's taxonomy places the organism in Eukaryota, Viridiplantae, Streptophyta, Magnoliopsida, Poales, Poaceae. The record is from Rfam.